This 1386-nucleotide ribosomal RNA is filed under the name uncultured eukaryote. RNAcentral describes it as "SSU rRNA". It matches the Rfam family "Eukaryotic small subunit ribosomal RNA", at positions 384 to 1804 of the family's 1831-position model. The record is from RNAcentral.
CGGAGAGGGAGCAUGAGAAAUGGCUACCACAUCUAAGGAAGGCAGCAGGCGCGCAAAUUACCCAAUCCCUAAUCAAGGAGGUAGUGACAAGAAGUAAUGAUAUAUAACAUAUAUGUUCUGUAAUCGGAAUGUGAGGAAGUUAAACCAAUUUUCUAGUAUCGAUUGGAGGGCAAGUCUGGUGCCAGCAGCCGCGGUAAUUCCAGCUCCAACAGUGUAUAUUAACACUGCUGCAGUUGAAACGCUCGUAGUUGGGAAUUUGUUGUAUAAUAUUGGUCUAUCCUAGAGGUCAGUACUUUAUAUGAAUGCAGCAUCGUCUUGAUUAUCUUUCUACACUUAACUGUGUAUUUUGUUGAAUCAAUCCGUAUACUUUGAAGAAAUGAGAGUGUUUCAAGCGACUUUAUUUAAGGAUAUAUUAGCAUGGAAUAACACAUUACGACCUCAUAUUGUGUCUGUUGGUUGCCGAGAUCGGGUAACAAGGAAGAGGAUAAUUGGUGGUAUUUAUAUUGCACAGUCAGAGGUGAAAUUCUUGGAUUUUUGCAAGAUGAUCGAUUGCGAAAGCAUUUGUCAAGAGUGUUUUUAUUGAUCAAGAACGAAAGUUAAGGGAUCGAAGACGAUCAGAUACCGUUGUAGUCUUAACCGUAAACCAUGUCGCCUAGAAAUUGGCGGGUAUAUAUUAUCAUCCCGUCAGCAACUUGAGAGAAAUCACAGUUUUUGGAUUCCGGGGGGAGUAUGAUCACAAGAUUGAAACUUAAAGGAAUUGACGGAAAGACACCACCAGGGGUGGAGCGUGCGGCUUAAUUCGACUCAACACUGGAAAAUUUACCAGGUCCAAACAUAGAAACGAUUGACAGAUUGAUUGGCUUUUCUUAAUUCUGUGGGUGGUGGUGCAUGGCCGUUCUUAGUUGGUGGAGUGAUUUGUCUGGUUAAUUUCGAUAACGAUCGAGAUCUUGACCUGCUAAAUAGAUGCAAGACGUAUAUAUAAUCGUGUGAACUUCUUAGAGGAAACAUUUGUGUAAAGCAGAAGGAAGAUUAAGGUAAUAACAGGUCUGUGAUGCCCUUAGAUGUCUUGAGCUGCACGCGCGCUACACUGAAGCACUUCACAAGGAAUUCAUCUGGUUUGAAAGGAGUGGGAAAUCUUAUCCCUGUGCCUCGUGAUGGGGCUUGUUCAUUGUAAUUAUUGAACAUUAACGAGGAAUCCCUAGUAAGUGCAUAUCAUCAAUCUGUUCUGACUAAGUCCCUGCCCUUUGUACACACCGCCCGUCGCUCCUACCGAUCGAGUGAUCCGGUGAAUACUUAAGACUUUGAGAAGCAGUCGAAAGAUUACACUCAUAGAAAUGCGAGUGAGUCUUAUCACUUAGAGGAAGGAGAAGUCGUAACAAGGUAACC